Nomascus leucogenys (northern white-cheeked gibbon) is the source of this 85-nucleotide microRNA precursor. It matches the Rfam family "mir-515 microRNA precursor family". The record is from Rfam. Lineage: Eukaryota; Metazoa; Chordata; Mammalia; Primates; Hylobatidae.
UCUCAUGCUGUGACCCUCCAGAGGGAAGCGCUUUCUGUUGUCUGAAAAACCAAAGCGCUUCCCUUUGGAGCGUUACGGUUUGAGA